GACGAACGCUGGCGGCGUGCCUAAUACAUGCAAGUUGAGCGAUGAAGCUUGGUGCUUGCACCAAUUUGAAGAGCAGCGAACGGGUGAGUAACGCGUGGGGAAUCUGCCUUUGAUCGGGGGACCACAUUUGGAAACGGAUGCUAAUACCGCAUAACAUCUUUAAACAUAAGUUUUAAGUUUGAAAGAUGCAAUUGCAUCACUCAAAGAUGAUCCCGCGUUGUAUUAGCUAGUUGGUGGGGUAAAGGCGCACCAAGGCGAGGAUACAUAGCCGAACUGAGAGGGUGAUCGGCCACAUUGGGACUGAGACACGGCCCAAACGCCUACGGGAGGCAGCAGUAGGGAAUCGUCGGCAAUGGGCGAAAGUCUGACCGAGCAACGCCGCGUGAGUGAAGAAGGUUUUCGGAUCGUAAAACUCUGUUGGUAGAGAAGAACGUUGGUGAGAGUGGAAAGCUCAUCAAGUGACGGUAACUACCCAGAAAGGGACGGCUAACUACGUG
Molecule: ribosomal RNA, 497 nt
Filed under: uncultured bacterium
Lineage: Bacteria
Description: partial 16S ribosomal RNA
Rfam family: Bacterial small subunit ribosomal RNA
Source: RNAcentral